AAAAGCCUAGAAGUAGUGCCUAUAGCGAGAGUAACCAUAAUUACCUUUGAUAGAGGAUGGAAAAAAAGCUCAGAAAAUACUACUGACGGCUGGCAAUAGUCUGUUUCUGUCUGUGACGAUGCGGCAGCGACCUGUCGCUGAUCCCUCCAAGCCCUCAAACACGGUAGUGACACCAAAGGAUCCCGACCACAGCCCGGCGAGUCUGGGGCAGUCAGGCACCUGUCGGACACCUCCGCCACCUCCGCCAAGAACUCCAGGGGUCUGCGCUACUUCGUGUCCACGGACCUCCCUCAUCUUCCGCCGAGACAAAGGUUAAUACUGCCUUACGUAUUAAAUAUGCUGAGGCUCCAUUUCAUCUCCUCUUCCUCCCUGAGAUCUUCACAAUCCCACAAGAGCAAACAACUUUUGGUGUCAAUUCUACAAGAGCCUUGUUACUCAGAAGAAUAAUUGCUAUCAGAACUUAAAAGACAUUUUAGAGGAAAAUGACAAAAGAACUUCAAUGGAUUUGGCUGUCACGAGUGUACUGUUCAGUGAGAUUUCACCAACUGAGUCCACUGCGGCAUGAAGCCCCUAUGUCUAAAACUGAGAACACAGUCAACGUCACAGAUGCCUUGCUGCACAGUUCCAUCACAAGAGGGACCUCUGUAGAAGACAGAGCUAUGUACAUCACUUUCACCUCCUCUGUACUAAAUGUAACCAAACAUCCCAAACUCUUGAAAUCUUUUAAAUUCCAUGUUCUUGUGGAUUUAUCUGUAUUUUUCAUUUUGUCUAUGAUAUAGUUCCAUUGCAUUAAUAUCAAUUGAUCUGGAAAUUCUUUUCUUGAUGUGCAUGAGGGUGGUUGUCUUACUUUCUCAUUGCUGGGAGAUAAUAUCUAACACAUAAUAUCUAAUCAAAGGAAGAAAGGUUUCUUUUAGCUCACAGUUUGUAGAGGUUUCAUUCGGUCCAUAGUGGGCUGGUUCCAAUGCUGGGCAGGGUGGCAGAGGAGAAAUAACAGUUCAUGGCAUGGCAGGGAGGAGGCAGCAUGAGUCUUCCUUUCCCCUUUAUUCUAUCCAGGGUAUAAGCCUAUUGAUUGGUGCCAACAUCCAGUGUGGACCUUCCCGUUAUCCACUCAAAACUAUGCUAACUCAAUCAGUGAACUAAUUUAGUUAUCACACACCUUUAAUCCAUGUUCACACAGCCUAGAUCCAACCACUUCUGAAAAGCC
Molecule: long non-coding RNA, 1204 nt
Filed under: Fukomys damarensis (Damara mole-rat)
Lineage: Eukaryota; Metazoa; Chordata; Mammalia; Rodentia; Bathyergidae
Description: lncRNA (ENSFDAG00000031508.1)
Source: RNAcentral